Molecule: ribosomal RNA, 165 nt
Filed under: uncultured bacterium
Lineage: Bacteria
Description: partial 16S rRNA
Rfam family: Bacterial small subunit ribosomal RNA
Source: RNAcentral
UGGGGAAUCUUCCACAAUGGACGCAAGUCUGAUGGAGCAACGCCGCGUGAGUGAAGAAGGUCUUCGGAUCGUAAAACUCUGUUGUAAGAGAAGAACGUGUGUGAGAGUGGAAAGUUCACACAGUGACGGUAACUUACCAGAAAGGGACGGCUAACUACGUGCCAG